CCCUUAAAUAUCUUAUUUCGACAUUGUGAAGCACCUUGCUGGUCUAAUAAAUAGGUCAUUGAAUUUGAUUUUUAUCCUCUUAGAUGAGUACCGAACUAACUGCUUCUGUUGAAGUUACCAAAUAAAGAUACAAAAUUUCUCCGACCUUUGGUUUUGUAAAUAACAGUGGAGAUGUCAGAUAUCUUUUUAGAUCUUCAAAGGAUUGUCGGCACUCGUCUGACCAUGUAAAAUUUUUUGUUUGUCUCAAGAUCU
RNAcentral lists this long non-coding RNA (252 nucleotides) under Elaeis guineensis (African oil palm). RNAcentral describes it as "long non-coding RNA (EGUI_LNC075109)". Lineage: Eukaryota; Viridiplantae; Streptophyta; Magnoliopsida; Arecales; Arecaceae. The record is from RNAcentral.